UGGCUCAGAACGAACGAUGGCGGCAGGCCUAACACAUGCAAGUCGAACUAGCCCUUCGGGGCUAGUGGCGUACGGGUGAGUAACACGUGUGAACGUACCCUUAGGUUCGGAACAACACAGGGAAACUUGUGCUAAUGCCGAAUGUGCCCUUCGGGGGAAAGAUUUAUCGCCUUUGGAGCGGCCCGCGUCUGAUUAGCUUGUUGGUGAGGUAAAGGCUCACCAAGGCUACGGUGAAUAGCUGGUCUGAGAGGAUGAUCAGCCACACUGGGACUUUUUUCUCGGCCCAGACGAAUACGGGAGGC
RNAcentral lists this ribosomal RNA (302 nucleotides) under uncultured bacterium. RNAcentral's name for it is "bacterial SSU rRNA". It matches the Rfam family "Bacterial small subunit ribosomal RNA", at positions 20 to 352 of the family's 1533-position model. The record is from RNAcentral.